This 492-nucleotide ribosomal RNA is filed under the name uncultured bacterium. RNAcentral describes it as "partial 16S ribosomal RNA". It matches the Rfam family "Bacterial small subunit ribosomal RNA", at positions 29 to 507 of the family's 1533-position model. The record is from RNAcentral.
AGUGAACGCUGGCGGCGUGCCUAACACAUGCAAGUCGAACGAACACACGAGGAGAUUUUGCUCUUGCCGGUAGCGGGGGGCGGGUGGGUGAGGAGUGGAUCACCAUCCUCUUUUUCUUGGGGGAUUACGGGGAGACAGUUACAAUAAUAGCUAAUAUAACUUACCGGAUGGAUCAAUGGAUCUACGCGGCUUUUCUGUUUCAAUUAGCCGGAGUCGCAUUAGCUAGUUGGUAUGGUAAAGGCUUACCAAGGCAACGAUGCGUAGCUGGUCUGAGAGGGUGAUCGGCCACACUGGAACUGAGACACGGUCCAGACUCCUACGGGAGGCAGCAGUAGGGAAUCUUCCGCAAUGGGCGAAAGCUUGACGGAGCAACGCCGCGUGAGUGAUGAAGGUCUUCGGAUCGUAAAGCUCUGUUAUUAGGGAAGAACAAAUGUGUAAGUAACUAUGCACGUCUUGACGGUACCUAAUCAGAAAGCAACGGCUAACUACGUG